GGGAUGAACGCUGGCGGCGUGCUUAAUACAUGCAAGUCGAGCGAGGACCACUUGGUGGCAACACCGGGUGGCUCCUAGCGGCGAACGGGUGAGUAACACGUGGGCAACCUACCCCCGACUCUGGGAUAAAGCCCGGGAAACUGGGUCUAAUACCGGAUAUGAACCUCCUCCGCAUGGUGGAGGUUGGAAAGGGUCUCCGGUUGGGGAUGGGCCCGCGGCCUAUCAGCUUGUUGGUGGGGUGAUGGCCUACCAAGGCGACGACGGGUA
Molecule: ribosomal RNA, 267 nt
Filed under: uncultured bacterium
Lineage: Bacteria
Description: partial small subunit ribosomal RNA
Rfam family: Bacterial small subunit ribosomal RNA
Source: RNAcentral